Molecule: unclassified non-coding RNA, 466 nt
Filed under: uncultured Entrophospora
Lineage: Eukaryota; Fungi; Glomeromycota; Glomeromycetes; Entrophosporales; Entrophosporaceae
Description: SSU rRNA
Rfam family: Eukaryotic small subunit ribosomal RNA
Source: RNAcentral
AGCAGCCGCGGUAAUUCCAGCUCCAAUAGCGUAUAUUAAAGUUGUUGCAGUUAAAAAGCUCGUAGUUGAAUUUCGGGGUUAGCAGGUCGGUCGUGCCAUCGGUAUGAACUGGUCUCGCUGAUCCCUCCCUCUUGACGAACUGUGAUGCCAUUAAUUUGGUGUCGCAGGGAAUCAGGACUGUUACUUUGAAAAAUUAGAGUGUUUAAAGCAGGCUCACGCUUGAAUACAUUAGCAUGGAAUAAUGAAAUAGGACGUUUGAUCCUAUUUUGUUGGCUUCUAGGAUUGACGUAAUGAUUAAUAGGGAUAGUUGGGGGCAUUAGUAUUCAAUUGUCAGAGGUGAAAUUCUUGGAUUUAUUGAAGACUAACUACUGCGAAAGCAUUUGCCAAGGAUGUUUUCAUUAAUCAAGAACGAAAGUUAGGGGAUCGAAGACGAUCAGAUACCGUCGUAGUCUUAACCAUAAACUAU